This 72-nucleotide transfer RNA is filed under the name Bos taurus (domestic cattle). It matches the Rfam family "tRNA". Rfam says of the family: Transfer RNA (tRNA) molecules are approximately 80 nucleotides in length. Their secondary structure includes four short double-helical elements and three loops (D, anti-codon, and T loops). RNAcentral also lists the same sequence under 5 other names. Lineage: Eukaryota; Metazoa; Chordata; Mammalia; Artiodactyla; Bovidae. The record is from Rfam by way of RNAcentral.
UCCCUGGUGGCUCAGACGGUAAAGAAUCUGCCUGCAGUGUAGAAGUUCCAGGUUCAAUCCCUGGGCUGGGAA